RNAcentral lists this transfer RNA (142 nucleotides) under Ramalina farinacea. RNAcentral's name for it is "tRNA-Leu". It matches the Rfam family "tRNA". Rfam says of the family: Transfer RNA (tRNA) molecules are approximately 80 nucleotides in length. The record is from RNAcentral. Lineage: Eukaryota; Fungi; Ascomycota; Lecanoromycetes; Lecanorales; Ramalinaceae.
GCUUCGGUAGUGUAGUGGUUAACACGACGGCAGCAAGCAGAGAGAAGAGGGUGGGGUGGCGGGAGACUUGUUCUCCUCCUCCAUUCAGCCCUGUAGUCCUGGUUCGCAGCUGUAGUCCUGGGUUCGAAUCCCAGCUGGAGCA